AGUGAACGCUGGCGGUAGGCCUAACACAUGCCAGUCGAACGGCAGCACAGUAAGAGCUUGCUCUUACAGGUGGCGAGUGGCGGACGGGUGAGGAAUACAUCGGAAUCUACUUUUUCGUGGGGGAUAACGCAGGGAAACUUACGCGAAUACCGCAUAUGACCUACGGGGGAAAGCAGGGGAUCUUCGGACCUUGCGCGAGUGUAGGAGCCGAUGUCGGAGUAGCUAGUUGGCGGGGUAAAGGCCCACCAAGGCGAGGAUCCGUAUGUCGUCUGAGAGGAUGAUCCGCGACACGGGAAGUGAGACACGGUCCAGACUCCUGCGGGAGGCCGCAGUGGGGAAUAUUGGGCAAUGGGCGCGAGCCUGAUACAGCCGUACCGAGUGGGUGAAGAAGGCCUUCGGGUUGUAAAGCCCUUUUGUUGGGAGAGAAAAGCAGCAGGUUAAUACCCCGCUGUUCUGACGGUACCCAAAGAAUAAGCACCGGCUAACUUCGUG
Molecule: ribosomal RNA, 492 nt
Filed under: uncultured bacterium
Lineage: Bacteria
Description: partial 16S ribosomal RNA
Rfam family: Bacterial small subunit ribosomal RNA
Source: RNAcentral